UGGGGAAUAUUGCACAAUGGGCGAAAGCCUGAUGCAGCAACGCCGCGUGAGUGAUGAAGGCCUUCGGGUUGUAAAGCUCUGUCUUUUGGGACGAUAAUGACGGUACCAAAGGAGGAAGCCACGGCUAACUACGUGCCAGCAGCCGCGGUAAUACGUAGGUGGCAAGCGUUGUCCGGAUUUACUGGGCGUAAAGGAUGCGUAGGCGGAUUUUUAAGUGAGAUGUGAAAACCCUAAGCUUAACUUGGGGACUGCAUUUCAUACUGGAAAUCUAGAGUGCGGGAGAGGAGAAUGGAAUUCCUAGUGUAGCGGUGAAAUGCGUAGAGAUUAGGAAGAACACCAGUGGCGAAGGCGAUUCUCUGGACCGUAACUGACGCUGAGGCAUGAAAGCGUGGGUAGCAAACAGGAUUAGAUACCCUGGUAGUCCACGCCGUAAACGAUGAGUACUAGGUGUAGGAGGUAUCGACCCCUUCUGUGCCGCAGUUAACACAAU
RNAcentral lists this ribosomal RNA (490 nucleotides) under uncultured bacterium. Its description in RNAcentral is "partial 16S ribosomal RNA". It matches the Rfam family "Bacterial small subunit ribosomal RNA", at positions 355 to 861 of the family's 1533-position model. The record is from RNAcentral.